UCCUGAGAUUUGGGGAGUGUGACUGAGGG
This 29-nucleotide non-coding RNA is filed under the name Macaca fascicularis (crab-eating macaque). Lineage: Eukaryota; Metazoa; Chordata; Mammalia; Primates; Cercopithecidae. RNAcentral also lists the same sequence under 1 other name. The record is from RNAcentral.